UCCGUGGUGUCGCUACGGGUCGGAAACGACUCGACGGCGUAAGACAAGUCGUGACGAGACCGCUUGUUACUUCAAGUCUGCUGUGCCCUUACCAGCGGACUUCCAGCCCUCUUCUGCUUUCUCCUCACCUCAAAGGGCUGUUUUGGGGAAGAGUCCAGCUACUCCAGUGAUAAAUGAACCUGAAGAGAUGUAAUAAUGGGUUGGACCGAGAAAAUUCAAA
Long non-coding RNA from Ornithorhynchus anatinus (platypus), 220 nucleotides. RefSeq lists it as uncharacterized. NCBI's taxonomy places the organism in Eukaryota, Metazoa, Chordata, Mammalia, Monotremata, Ornithorhynchidae. The transcript is spliced from 2 exons. The record is from RefSeq and is a predicted model, not a curated record.